Molecule: long non-coding RNA, 1251 nt
Organism: Rosa rugosa (rugosa rose)
Lineage: Eukaryota; Viridiplantae; Streptophyta; Magnoliopsida; Rosales; Rosaceae
Exons: 9
Source: RefSeq, a predicted model, not a curated record
UGACCAGCCAUCUCCCUCUCCUACUCUCCUUCUCAGCUUCCUCAUUGCUUCCCAUCUCUUUCCUCCUCCUAUACAGCGCGAGAUAGACGACAAUUAAGAAAUCGAAGCCCAAAUCUGUCUUCCUCUUUCUCUUUCUCCGCCACCCCCUACUGCAAAAUCCUAGCUUUCGCUUCCACCGCCCCUAUCAAUAAAGUUUCAUUGAUGAAAGGGCUAAUACAGAAGCCCACCGAACUGGUUGAAGAUCUCUACUCCCGAUGUGGAGGUUGCAAGUUUGUGAAGAAGGGUAUGACCCUGUCUUAGAUCGGUGUGAUUCUUCGUGAUUCUUAUGGAAUUGCUCAGGCUUGAGCAUGACCCCGUCUCUAUACUGAUUUCCUCUCCUUCUUAUUGGUACCAUUACCCAGAAGAAUAGCACUGUCACACCUCCUUUCUGUCUCCUCCGAACCAAGGCAAUGAUUUCAUUUCUUUCUUAAUAGCUCAGAUGCAAGGAUCAAGCUAACCAUCUAUAAAACUUGAAAGGCUGAAAGGUUGGUGGGGAUUUGGGUGGAGUUUGCUUAGCCUACGUUACCAAGUUUUGAUUGGGAUUCUGGAAGCACACAGUGUCUUGGGUUGUUACGUCAACGUGGAUGGGAGUUACAGAUUCAAGCCAGCCAAAACUGUUGAUAUUGGCACCUGUGAUCAAUCGGUUCCAAAGGCAUAUCCAGAUAAGGGUAUUGUUAUUUGACUUGAUUCCCUCUGUAAUUAAUUAAACUGUAGAUUAAUGAUGGCGCCCACAUUUUCUACGGUUCCUAACUUAAUUUUUUGUUGUUGCCUUUGGUUGAUGGGCAAUGUGCUAUAUUCUUUGGCCUGCCAAAUGAGGAGACAAAUGGCUACUCGGCACAAUAUUCGUCAACUGGUUUUACUGAUAUGGGGAACACAGCUGAUGAAGGGAUGGAGUGAGUGAGUCAUAGUUCAACCAAGCCUUGAAUGUAGAAUUGGAUCAGAUUAUUGAGCUUUUAACAAAAUCUUUCCAGGCUGGUGGUUCUCCUGACAAUGUUCCACUUGGAGGGUUUGAAGCCAAUAGAUGUUGCAGCUGCAAGUAGGAACUGAAGUGUUGUGGAGAUCCUCUUACCUUGAUCUGUUUUGGUAUUUAGACUCUUUAGGUAUAUAUAGGCAUGGAUAAUGUGCAUUUGACACAUUUAUCGACAAGUUUAUGUUUUUGGCCUUUAAGUAUAUAGGCAAGGUUAAUAUGUGUUAAUAUUGGGAUGAACCUAC